AAGGAUCAUUGUCGAAACCUGCCCAGCAGAGCGACCCGCGAAUUUGUUAAAACAAACCCGGUCGGAACGACGAGGGGCGUGCGCCCUAGAUCGUCCGUCUGUAGGACUGCGGCCCCUGCUUCGAUCUUGCCGAACGGUUUGUCGGAGGGGUGGGCCGCCGCGUCCGCACAAAACCCAAAAUCGGCGCGACAGGCGCCAAGGAAAUCUUAGCGGAGAGGGAAGGUCCCCCGCAUGCGGGUGCGUCCUUCUCAACCCGAUACUUGAACGACUCUCGGCAACGGAUAUCUCGGCUCUUGCAUCGAUGAAGAACGUAGCGAAAUGCGAUACUUGGUGUGAAUUGCAGAAUCCCGUGAACCAUCGAGUCUUUGAACGCAAGUUGCGCCCGAGGCCACUAGGUCGAGGGCACGUCUGCCUGGGCGUCACACACAGCGUCGCACCCCGCCAUCCAGUAUGUCGGGAAGCGGAGAUUGGCCCCCCGAGCCCGUAAGGGCACGGUCGGCACAAAUGUUGGUCCCCGGCGGCGAGCGUCGCGGUCAGCGGUGGUUGUAUUUCUCAUCCCCCAAAGACAUCAAGACGCGUCGGCCUCGCAGCAUGUAGGGAUAAAUCGACCCCACGGAACCGCCUCGCGCGGCAUCCAACCUGCGACCCCAGGUCAGGCGAGACCACCCGCUGAGUUUAA
RNAcentral lists this ribosomal RNA (679 nucleotides) under Delphinium anthriscifolium. RNAcentral describes it as "eukaryotic LSU rRNA". The stretch from base 267 to 422 matches the Rfam family "5.8S ribosomal RNA". The record is from RNAcentral. Lineage: Eukaryota; Viridiplantae; Streptophyta; Magnoliopsida; Ranunculales; Ranunculaceae.